This 221-nucleotide unclassified non-coding RNA is filed under the name soil metagenome. Its description in RNAcentral is "partial internal transcribed spacer 1". The record is from RNAcentral.
AAAAAUAUUUGGUCUCGUGCCAAAUUACACCUGUGUGCACCAUUGUCUGUAUUUGGUAGCUCGAGCGCGCUCCGGAAGCUCAACACUUCCAUUAGGGGCGCCUACCCUUGCGGGUCACAUCCCGCUUGGGUUGGGCUACCGCCUUUUUUUUGAAAAACCUUUUUUGUUUUGUCUUUUUGUCUGAACGAAGAGUUGAUCUUAAUUGAUUAAUGAUUUGAAAA